RNAcentral lists this transfer-messenger RNA (375 nucleotides) under Burkholderiales. RNAcentral describes it as "Limnohabitans sp002282445 Standard tmRNA". It matches the Rfam family "transfer-messenger RNA". From Rfam's summary of the family: Bacterial tmRNA, also known as 10Sa RNA or SsrA, is named for its dual tRNA and mRNA-like properties. Its role is to liberate the mRNA from a stalled ribosome. Lineage: Bacteria; Pseudomonadati; Pseudomonadota; Betaproteobacteria. RNAcentral also lists the same sequence under 5 other names. The record is from RNAcentral.
GGGGCUGCACUGGUUUCGACAUGGGUUCGGACGCGUGGCAGGGCAUGUCGAGGUUCUGAUCCUCGUAAAUCUUCGGAAAAAAAACUAACUGCAAACGACGAACGUUUCGCACUCGCCGCUUAAUCCGGUGAGCCUUGCAACAGUUGGCCGAUAGGCUGGGUUAGGGGGUCGCAAGACUUCCUAGCUGCAAGGGAAAACAUAUGGGCUGGCAUCACCUCGGGUACCUUGAGGUGGUGUGAGAAAAAAGGGUACUGGCUGGGUGCGUAGCGUGUCGCUGCGCGACGCACACGGCGAGACUCAAAUCAGACGACUACACAUGUAGAACUGUACGAAAAAGGCUUGUGGACGCGGGUUCAAAUCCCGCCAGCUCCACCA